CCUACGGGUGACAGCAGUGAGGAAUAUUGGUCAAUGGCCGAGAGGCUGAACCAGCCAAGUCGCGUGAGGGAAGACGGCCCUACGGGUUGUAAACCUCUUUUGUCGGGGAGCAAAGAGAGUCACGUGUGACUCAUUGAGAGUACCCGAAGAAAAAGCAUCGGCUAACUCCGUGCCAGCAGCCGCGGUAAUACGGGGGAUGCGAGCGUUAUCCGGAUUUAUUGGGUUUAAGGGGUGCGCAGGCGGAGGUGCAAGUCAGCGGUAAAAUGGCGGGGCUCAACCCCGUACUGCCGUUGAAACUGCAUGCCUUGAGUGCGCGAGAAGUAUGCGGAAUGCGUGGUGUAGCGGUGAAAUGCAGAGAUAUCACGAAGAACUCCGAUUGCGAAGGCAGCAUACCGGCGCGCAACUGACGCUCAUGCACGAAAGCGUGGGUAUCGAACAGGAUUAGAUACCCUAGUAGUC
Molecule: ribosomal RNA, 459 nt
Filed under: uncultured bacterium
Lineage: Bacteria
Description: partial 16S ribosomal RNA
Rfam family: Bacterial small subunit ribosomal RNA
Source: RNAcentral